Molecule: non-coding RNA, 4366 nt
Filed under: Pongo abelii (Sumatran orangutan)
Lineage: Eukaryota; Metazoa; Chordata; Mammalia; Primates; Hominidae
Source: RNAcentral
AUUCUGAUGUCACCGCUCCCUAAUGAGAAGCUAGAAAAUGCAGUUCUAGAGUGAUACACCUUUAAGUCUUGUACAAUGAAGAUGAAAUAUUCCAAACUAUGCUGCACAAGAGGAGGUGAACAGAAACAUCUGGAUGGAGAAGAUCUUUUUUAUAUUCAGCCAUGCCAAUUGACCUUCUACCCUCUCCAUAGCCAAAGGAAUCCCCAAAUUUCCACAGAAAGGCAUUUUUAUGUCUUACCUCAAAUGGCCCCAUGGAAUUAGGCUCUCAGGCCCUGUCCGUCACAGCAUUAUCUGUGUAAGGAACUUCUGCAAAGCCUUCCUGGCUCCUUGAUGGAUUGGCUUUUUGGCUUAUGCCUAUAAUCCUACCACUUUGGGAAGCUGAGGCAGGAGGAUUGCUUGAGCCCAGGAGUGCAAGACCAACUUGGGCAACAUUGUGGAACUUCAUCUCUACAAAAACAAACAAACAAACAAACAAACAAAAAUUAGCUGGGACAGGACAGUCCAGACAGCACCAACAGCCUUUGCCUGAGCUCUGCUCCAGAGCUUCUCCAGCCCCGUGAUCAGGCACUAACUAUAACAACUGAACCGAUGGAAGUAAAUCCUACCCCAGAGGGGUAUUGGCAGGAUUAAAGCAGGUAGUAGAUAGCCUCUUGCACAGUACCAUAUACAGAGUAGGAUCUCCUACACAUAGUAGGAUUCUUGACUUGAAUCAAAACAGAACCCACCUAGCACAGCAAUAAGAAAAAUAAGAUUCUGCAGACACCAAUGCUAGUCUCAGGGCUGCCACUAACUAGGUAUGUGACUUUGACCAUGCCCCUUCACCUCCUGCCCAUGAUUUUCUUGUGUGUAAAAUGAGGCACUAUUGUUUAGAUUUCUCAAGGGCUUCCAGCUGUAACAUUCUACAGUCCUACGCAUUGCUGGAAUUGCAGGGGGACAGAGGAGGGAGGGUAAACCUCACAUGUUCAUGUUUUAAAAUUUCAAAUGAAGGAAGUUGUUGUUUUCUCCUCUUCCCUUCUCCCCAGUGGUAGCAAACAAGCAAUAAAUAUGGAAAUCCUAAAAGCCAGAGAAAAUAGUGAGUGUUCUCCAUUUUGCUGACAAAGUACACAGAGGCUGCGUCACAAAAUGAAUGUGCUUAUCCCUCUGGUGUGCUGCAUGAAUUCCUCCAGGCCCGAGCAUGGCUGGACCACUCACAGGACAGCUGUCCUUUGUUCUGUCAGUACAGGGUCCCCUGCUUGUGUGCUGACCAGCACAGCACUGGGUGACCACUGCAGAGUGAAGGUGUGCGUUCCUUCGCCAGGGAGACCCGAACAGAUGGAAUCCAUGCUUAGUGCAGUGACUGGAAGGAGGUAGAAACAAUGCAGGUGAAUUGGGAGGGCGGUUCUGGGAGACAGUGGAAGAAAAGAGAAAAACAAAGGCAAGGUAGAGCAUUCCAGCUGCAGGCAGCCAAAGCCUCUCCUGCCAAGGGACAGGUAGCUGGUUUUCAAAAUUGUGCACACAUACUCAGUAAUUGCUCUGCACCAUCUUGUCUGCCUUUUAAGCACAAGUGAGGAUUGCAUCUGACUCCUAUUACCAGCAAAUGUCCCAGGAAGGACCUUAAGUAAUAAGAGCCUUUUAAAGCUGAUCUUCGGAAGCCUCUUCCCAAGAUGGCACCUGGGAGGAGGUGUGGUUGUUCUGCGGCUCUAUCAGCCUGGGACGCACAAGUUUCUUCUACCCUGUGCAGCUGCCUGUUAUGAAGAAGCUCAUCCCUGUGUACCUUUCUCUUGAAUGCCUACUAUGAGUCACUCAGCAAGAGAGGCACCCAGCUCCCUCAGGGUCUGCGGGUCCUCAGAGGCCCACUUUCCUCCAUGAAACAGUCUCUGAACAUAUUAUUCCUCACAGAUGAUCACCUUCUUAACUCCAUCCAGAUGUGUGCCUCUGUCUCACUAUUUAGCGUUGUCCUAGAAAAUACUGUGUUUCAUGCGUAUACAUCAUGUUUCCUCAAGUAGAGUCUACCUUUAUAUAAUCAAAAGUCUCAGAUUGAUGGAUGAGUAGCAGAUAGAACAAGAACCCUCCUCCUAUGGCUAUUGGGGUGCAAGUACCCAUUUGCCUACUGGAACUGCCUUAGGGAAGAUAUGGUUAAACACAGACCCCACCCUGCAAGUUAUUCUAUUGAGGAAAAGUGGAAAUAAGGUGAGUGCUACUACACAACCACCCAACCCACACCUCUGUUACAACACUGGCUUUUUGACAAGAAAGCAUUCAUUCUUUCUGGCAAAACAUUGUCCACUCUUAGCAGUUCUUCCAUGGAUAUCAGACCUAUAUGCCAGUGGCAAUACAUUAAGUCAGUAGCAUUCUAUGAGCACUCAUUCAACCACAUUUUGGGUGUGGUUUCUAUGUGUCAGUCAUUAUCCCAAGCAGUGGCCAAGGAGAAGCUACAGAAGCAGAUUCGACCAGGCCCUUUCUUUGAAUAGUCUGUGGUCCACAUGAGGGAGGCAGGUGAGAAUCAAGGCUCUGUGAUAACUGUUCCAAGGGAGAUGCACACAGAGCAUAUGGCAUGCUAAGCUCCUCUUGGGGUAAUUGCAAUGUUUGCCUUCUUUCCUUUGAAGACUUAAGUGUGAAGCCUGCGCACCUGGAAUGGGAGGGGACAGGGAUUCUCAUAAGAACCUUUAUGCCAUUUGCAUAGCAGUUAACAGACUGUCAAGAAUUUCAAAAUAGCAUCAGAUGAGGUGAUGAGCAUAGGGGUCCUUAGAAAUAUUUGCUUGUUUUAUGGUCAGAGGCCUGCAGGAAGCAGCUAAUAACUGAUCUCUUCACAUAGCCCCUAAUGUCAUUUCCAUUUCAAUCAUGGACCAGAGUAUUGUGUGACACUUCCCAUAUUAUUGAUUUGAGUUGUUAUUUAUUUCUUUUAUUGCCAAAUAACUUUACACCCUUGGCUAAAAUUUAAGAUACCAGAAGACAAGAUUGUGCCUUGUUCCCUAGCCUCCACUGGCACUAGCACAGUGCCUGACUCACAGUAGGCACUCAAUCAAUGCAUUGACUAAUUAAGUCCUUCUUCUGCUGAGGGCCCAUCGUGCUUUGGCUGUCCCAGAGAGUUAACACCUGUCCCUGGGACCACCCUAGACACAAUGGCACGCAGACGAACGAGCCUCCUUCGUCUACCUUCCCUCCGCGAGCAGCAUCAAGGACCUGAGAGGCAAACUCAAUGUGAAUUUUAAAACACCUUCAGUGGUGGUUGCAGAGCAAACCUGCCUGCAAGAAAAGGAUUUUUCCCUCUUUCUUCAGCGCCACUGGAGCGGCUCCUUCCAUUGAAAAUACAGGGAUUUGUGCCGCAUGAUUGUGCAGGGAGUGGGGGCCGAGUCCAUGCCAGUCAUCAAGGGCUCAGCAUGCUCAGAAGGGCUUUGUGCUCCAGGCACUGCAGCAGCCUGGCUUGGCCUUAGCACACCCCUCUUCCUGCAGAGGCCACAGUACAACCAUUUCAGCAAGUGACUUUUCAGUAAUGGCUCUGUGUGCCCAAAAGGGAAAUCAAUGUGAUGGUUAGAAAAGUUUCUUUUUUUCUUCCACUCCUGUGCUGUCCCCAAAAUAUCAGAAUAAGGUUUGUUAUCUGGGCAAAGGAACAAGCACAAGAUUUUCUUUUGUGUUGGGUGAGGAGCUAAAGGACUAAACAUUUUUGAACACCUAUGAUGUACCAGAGACUGUCUCACAUGCUUCCCUAUUUAAUGUUACCAGGAGAUUGUUGGUAAGGUGUUACCCCCAUCUUAAAGAGGAGGGGACCAAGAUUCAGGGAUGCUUCACAAGCGAAUAAUUAAAACUUAAUUCUAAAGUGUGUCGGGUGCGUGUGUGCGUGUGUGCAUGUGUGUGCAUGAGUGUGUGCAUGUGUGUGCAUGCGUGCGUGCAUGUGUGUCUGGUCUUAGUGUUCAUAUCCAUGAGCAUCAGGAGAGCUUCCACUUCACCCAUGUUUCAAACUCUAGAGAGGCUGCUCCCCCUGCUGAGUAGCCUGGUCGUGACCAUGGCUGGGUGAUGGCUGUUUGGAUGCUCUCAGAAAUGUCGUAAGCAGUUCACUUAUUAUUCAGGGAAACAUCCAACAAAGUGAUGGCUUCUUUCCUUGCUGUCGGUAUCUACUGCCAGCUGUUCACUUGGAUUGAAGGAUAUGAGGGACUGAAUGCUGAAUUCAUGAAUGCAGCUAACUGCCCCCCUCCAGACCCCAGAGGAGCCAUUAGGAUGAGUGUUUAUAGAGCACCACUGCCUGGAAAUGCCAAGGCCCCGUGGGGAAUGAGAGGUGAACGGAGAAAUACGCACGUCCCUGGAUCCCUCCCUGGGUGGGGAAGACUGUGUCAUGGGACAGGGGCAUUCAAAUCUAUGGGAAAAUACUGCAAAUACACUUCUAGUUCUU